RNAcentral lists this ribosomal RNA (834 nucleotides) under Triticum aestivum (bread wheat). RNAcentral describes it as "partial small subunit ribosomal RNA". The record is from RNAcentral. Lineage: Eukaryota; Viridiplantae; Streptophyta; Magnoliopsida; Poales; Poaceae.
AUGUACAAGAGAGGUGAAGGAAGGGAUCGUCUACUAGUUGGCAUCUAUGUCGACGACCUAUUGAUAACUGGAGCAGAUGAAGAGGAGAUUGCUAGAUUCAAGCUACAAAUGAAGGAGCUUUUCAAGAUGAGUGAUUUAGGGCUCUUGACUUACUAUCUCGGGAUCGAGGUACAUCAAAAGCCGGAGGGAAUCACGCUAUGCCAGGAGGCAUAUGCAAAGAAGAUUCUUGAAAGCUGUAGCAUGGAGGACUGCAAUCCAAGUCAUGUUCCAAUGGAGCCUCGACUUAAACUUAGCAAGAGGAGCCAAGCACCCGCGGUUGAUGCAACGGACUAUAGAAGUGUGGUCGGAAGCCUAAGGUAUCUUGUGAAUACACGACCAGAUUUGGCCUAUUCCGUUGGCGUAGUGAGUCGCUUCAUGGAAGCACCCACGACAGAACAUUGGGCAGCUGUGAAACAAAUACUCAGGUACAUCAAAGGGACAACUAACUUCGGUUGUGUCUAUUUGAGAGAGAAGCGGAAGGAGAUGGUGGAGCUACUUGGCUACAGUGAUAGCGACUUGGCAGGAGAUAUUGACGACCGUAAAAGUACCUCGGGCGUGGCAUAUUUCUUGGGAAGAAACAUAGUGAGUUGGCUAUCACAAAAGCAGAAGGUGGUCGCAUUAUCAUCCUGUGAAGCGGAGUAUAUUGCAGCUGCAACCGCGGCAGGUCAAGGUGUCUGGCUAGAAAGGCUACUCGGUGACCUCACUGACAAGGAACCGGAAGGAGUGGUGCUCUAUGUUGACAACAAGUCCACUAUUGCUCUAUGUAAGAAUCCAGUGCAUCAUGAUAGAAGUUAA